RNAcentral lists this ribosomal RNA (253 nucleotides) under uncultured bacterium. RNAcentral describes it as "partial 16S ribosomal RNA". It matches the Rfam family "Bacterial small subunit ribosomal RNA", at positions 524 to 776 of the family's 1533-position model. The record is from RNAcentral.
GACGUAGGGGGCCAGCGUUGCUCGGAAUUACUGGGUGUAAAGGGUUCGUAGGCGGUGUGGCAAGUCGGGAGUGAAAUCUCUGGGCUCAACCCAGAGUCUGCUUCCGAAACUGCUGUGCUUGAGUGUGGGAGAGGCGCGUGGAAUUGCAGGUGUAGCGGUGAAAUGCGUAGAUAUCUGGAGGAACACCGGUGGCGAAGGCGGCAUCCUGGACCGGCAUUGACGCUGAGGCGCGAAAGCCAGGGGAGCAAACGGG